GAUGAACGCUGGCGGCGUGCCUAAUACAUGCAAGUCGAGCGGACAGACGAGGCUCGUGCUCCUCUGACGUGAGCGGCGGACGGGUAAUGAACACGUGGCUAACCUACCUAUGGGACUGGGAUAACUUCGGGGAAGCUGAUCUAACACCGGUUAAGAUAUUGAACGGGGGGGUUCUAUGGUGAAAGACGUUUUUGCUGUGACUUAUUGAUGGUACCGCGUCGCAUUAGUUAGUUGGUAAGGUAACGGCCUACCAAGGCAACGAUGCGUGGCUGACCUGAGAGGGUGAUCGGCCACACUGGAACUGAGACACGGUCCAGACUCCUACGGGAGGCAGCAGUAGGGAAUCUUCCGCAAAGGGCGAAAGCCUGACGGAGCAACGCCGCGUGAGUGAUGAAGGUCUUCGGAUCGUAAAACUCUGUUAUUAGGGAAGAACAAAUGUGUAAGUAACUAUGCACGUCUUGACGGUACCAAAACAGAAAGCCCCGGCUAACUACGUG
RNAcentral lists this ribosomal RNA (497 nucleotides) under uncultured bacterium. RNAcentral's name for it is "partial 16S ribosomal RNA". It matches the Rfam family "Bacterial small subunit ribosomal RNA", at positions 28 to 507 of the family's 1533-position model. The record is from RNAcentral.